UACGUAGGGUGCAAGCGUUGUCCGGAAUCACUGGGCGUAAAGGGCGCGUAGGUGGUUUUGUAAGUCUGUGGUGAAAGCCCGGGGCUCAACCCCGGGUCUGCCAUGGAUACUGCGAGACUUGAGUACUGUAGAGGCUGGUAGAAUGCCGGGUGUAGCGGUGGAAUGCGUAGAGAUCCGGCAGAAGACCGGUGGCGAAGGCGGCCAGCUGGGCAGUAACUGACGCUGAGACGCGAAAGCGUGGGGAGCAAACAGG
RNAcentral lists this ribosomal RNA (253 nucleotides) under uncultured bacterium. RNAcentral's name for it is "partial 16S ribosomal RNA". It matches the Rfam family "Bacterial small subunit ribosomal RNA", at positions 524 to 776 of the family's 1533-position model. The record is from RNAcentral.